RNAcentral lists this long non-coding RNA (1394 nucleotides) under Rattus norvegicus (Norway rat). RNAcentral describes it as "long non-coding RNA NONRATT011259". The record is from RNAcentral. Lineage: Eukaryota; Metazoa; Chordata; Mammalia; Rodentia; Muridae.
CUCUGGUGGAUGCUCAUUGCCAGCAGGGCAGAAAUUGUAUAGGAGGAGCAAUGCUCAAAACCAGCUACUUAGGGAUUGUUCUCUAUGGCUUUUCUUUGGAGGGACGGUGACUUGAUGUGUUUUGCCGAUAUCACUUGGCCCAAGGAGUCCACAGAAGUGCUUCCGGCUGUUUGGUUGUUAUACUCCUGUGUUUAGACUUUCCUUUUGUGUUUUUCCUAUUAUCCUGCAGGUGUACCCUAAAACUGUUCCUAGUGUACUUGAACAGUUGCAUUUAUAAUGGGGGGGAUAUGGUUUAAUGGUGCCUGAUAUCUCAGUUUUUUUGUAUAUAACAUAUAUAUAAAUAUACAUAUAUAAAUAUAGAUAUAAUUAUAUCUCAGUGCAAUCUGGGAUUUAGAUUUACAGUUUGCUCUGGGCUAGCUUUCUGCCUGGAGUGUUGUGCUCCAUUGCAGUCCAGUUGGGAUUUCUCUUUUUCUAAAGCUUUUGAGUCUUGAUAUUGGCCUGUCUGUGACUCUACCAUGAAUACCAGGAAGCAAGCUAAGACUUUGAAGAAGCGCUCAGGGCUCACGUCCUGAAUGUAUGUUGGUUAGAAAGUGGACUUUCUACUUCCUGCCCACUGCCAGCCAGUUCUCCACCCUCUCUUUGGUGUUCUUCGUGGGGAGGACACUGUGGUUUGUCACAGCCCUAGACUUUGAAAGGCUCCCAGAACCCAGGAGUACCAGCCUGCUCUCUAUUUGCUCAACUCCUUUCCCAGGGAGGACAUGUGACUGUCCUGUCUGACAGGAUGGAUCUGGGUUCCCCACGCAAACCAGUUCACCACAUAGAUAGCUAGUCUAAACAGUGUUUUAAAAUAAGGGCACCUCUGUUUCAAAAAUGACAUCUGCUGUGUUGUUUUCAAGGCCUGAUACUCUUUUUUUCCAAGGUUUGAAAAGAUGUAUGUAUCCGUUCAUGGGCUUGGUAGCCUUCUGGUCACCUCAGUCCUGUGGCUCUUAACUUAUUGCCCCAAAAUAUUAAUUCCCCCUCAGCUACAGUAAAUUGCAAGCAAAAGAUCUUGAAAUAAAAAAAAAGCACUAAUUUAGUUUAAAAUGUCACUUUUUGGUUUUUAUUCUACAAAAGCCAUGAAGUUCAUUCUCUCUCUCUCUCUCUCUCUCUCUCUCUCUCUCUCUCUCUUUCUCUUUCUCUCUCUCUUAUUUGUUAAAUCAGAUUAUGUUCAUUUUUUUACUGAUUCAUGUUUAUGAGCAGAGUGGAGUUUAACAAUCCUAGCUUUAAAAAAAUCUAUUUAAUGUAAGAUAUUCUACGCUUCAUUCAGAUAUUUUGUAUAUCCCCUAUGGCCUUUAUUCUGUACUUUUAAUGUACAUAUUUCUGUCUUGUGUGAUUUGUAUAUUUCACUGGUUUAA